AUGGCUCUCAGCGCGACUCCACCUCUUUGCCAUGAUGACUAUGCCAUUGCUGAGUCCAACAGGCCUAUUCCGAUCCAUCUCCGUUGAGUCGCCAGGCAGGAAAUUGUAAGGCUUUUGAACCAUGAUAGGUUUUUUGUUAGAGAUGUGCAAGAUUCUGCUUUGGGGCUUGGAUUGUAUCGCUUCUGCAAUGGUUUUAUUAGGGAUGAUGUAGUCGGGAAAACUUACUUGCUGGGUGAGGACAAUGAGAUUACUUUUGUUAAACAUGAUGAAGGUCUGAACAUGCGCAUGCCAUCAUUGGGUAGGCAGAUGUGGGUUCUGAUGCUUGCUUUCCCUCAAGACUAUCAAACAAAUUUCUGGAUUGAUAAGGCUGUCUCUCAAUUUGUCAAAUUAAUUUAG
Molecule: ribosomal RNA, 396 nt
Filed under: Triticum aestivum (bread wheat)
Lineage: Eukaryota; Viridiplantae; Streptophyta; Magnoliopsida; Poales; Poaceae
Description: partial small subunit ribosomal RNA
Source: RNAcentral